RNAcentral lists this ribosomal RNA (871 nucleotides) under uncultured bacterium. RNAcentral describes it as "bacterial SSU rRNA". It matches the Rfam family "Bacterial small subunit ribosomal RNA", at positions 1 to 848 of the family's 1533-position model. The record is from RNAcentral.
CCGCGGGAUAGAGUUUGAUCCUGGCUCAGAAUCAACGCCGGCGGCGUGCCUAACACAUGCAAGUCGAACGCGAAAGGGGACCAAUCCCUGAGUAGAGUGGCGAACGGGUGAGUAACGCGUGGGUGACCUGCCUUCGAGUGGGGGAUACCGUUUCGAAAGGAACGCUAAUACCGCAUGAUAUCCGGCCUUUAGACAGGCGGAGAUCAAAGCUGGGGAUCGCAAGACCUGGCGCUCGGAGAGGGGCCCGCGUCCGAUUAGCUAGUUGGUGGGGUAAUGGCCUACCAAGGCGACGAUCGGUAGCCGGCCUAAGAGGGCGGACGGCCACACUGGGACUGAGACACGGCCCAGACUCCUACGGGAGGCAGCAGUGGGGAAUUGUUCGCAAUGGGCGCAAGCCUGACGACGCAACGCCGCGUGGAGGAUGACGGCUUUCGGGUCGUAAACUCCUGUCGUGCGGGACGAAUGCCUUCGCAGGGAAUAUCUGCGGAGGGUGACGGUACCGCGAAAGGAAGCCCCGGCUAACUCCGUGCCAGCAGCCGCGGUAAUACGGGGGGGGCAAGCGUUGUUCGGAAUUACUGGGCGUAAAGGGCUCGUAGGCGGCCCUGUAAGUCAGACGUGAAAGCCCUCGGCUCAACCGGGGAACGGCGUCUGAGACUGCAGGGCUUGAAUCCGGGAGAGGGAUGCGGAAUUCCAGGUGUAGCGGUGAAAUGCGUAGAUAUCUGGAGGAACACCGGUGGCGAAGGCGGCAUCCUGGACCGGUAUUGACGCUGAGGAGCGAAAGCCAGGGGAGCAAACGGGAUUAGAUACCCCGGUAGUCCUGGCCCUAAACGAUGAAUGCUUGGUGUGGCGGGUAUCGAUCCCUGCCGUGCCG